UACGGGGGGUGCGAGCGUUGUCCGGAAUCACUGGGCGUAAAGGGCGCGUAGGUGGCGUCGUAAGUCUGUGGUGAAAGCCCGGAGCUCAACUCCGGGUCUGCCGCGGAUACUGCGAGGCUUGAGUGCUGUAGAGGGGGGUAGAAUAUCGGGUGUAGCGGUGGAAUGCGUAGAGAUCCGAUAGAAGACCGGUGGCGAAGGCGGCCCCCUGGGCAGUAACUGACACUGAGGCGCGACAGCGUGGGGAG
This 245-nucleotide ribosomal RNA is filed under the name uncultured bacterium. RNAcentral's name for it is "partial 16S ribosomal RNA". It matches the Rfam family "Bacterial small subunit ribosomal RNA", at positions 524 to 768 of the family's 1533-position model. The record is from RNAcentral.